Molecule: ribosomal RNA, 497 nt
Filed under: uncultured bacterium
Lineage: Bacteria
Description: partial 16S ribosomal RNA
Rfam family: Bacterial small subunit ribosomal RNA
Source: RNAcentral
GAUGAACGCUGGCGGCGUGCCUAAUACAUGCAAGUCGAGCGAACAGACGAGGAGCUUGCUCCUCUGACGUUAGCGGCGGACGGGUGAGUAACACGUGGAUAACCUACCUAUAAGACUGGGAUAACUUCGGGAAACCGGAGCUAAUACCGGAUAAUAUAUUGAACCGCAUGGUCCAAUAGUGAAAGACGGUUUUGCUGUCACUUAUAGAUGGAUCCGCGCCGCAUUAGCUAGUUGGUAAGGUAACGGCUUACCAAGGCAACGAUGCGUAGCCGACCUGAGAGGGGGGUCUCCCCCACUCGGAAAUCGGAACGGGGCCGACUCCCCCGGGGGGGGCAAGUGGGGGAAAUUUCCCGAAGGGGGCAAAACCCAGGGAGAACAGCCGCGUGUGGGUUGAAGGGUUUUUGGUAUCAAAAACCUGUUUUUAGGGGAGAAAAAAAGUGUAAAAAAAACUGUGCACGUCUAGGCGGUCCCAAAAGAAAACCCCCGGGCAACCUCCG